ACCAUAGUAGUAGAAAAAAUAUACAAGGUUUAGGGUCUUGGGGUGCAGUUUAACUGCCUUUGGUG
This 65-nucleotide transfer RNA is filed under the name Macoma balthica. Its description in RNAcentral is "Limecola balthica tRNA-Leu". Lineage: Eukaryota; Metazoa; Mollusca; Bivalvia; Cardiida; Tellinidae. The record is from RNAcentral.